This is a long non-coding RNA of Vespa crabro (European hornet), 4026 nucleotides long. RefSeq lists it as uncharacterized. The record is from RefSeq and is a predicted model, not a curated record. The transcript has 2 exons. Lineage: Eukaryota; Metazoa; Arthropoda; Insecta; Hymenoptera; Vespidae.
UAUAAAACGUAGAGAUCAUCUAUGCAUUCAAAUAUUCUGUGAUUCAAAUAUGUAUAUAUUUAACAUUUCUGUAUCUCUAGAAAAUAUAAUUAUUUCAUUAGAAAAUUAUUAUCUAUGUUUGAAAUACGAAUUAAUUACAUUUAUCAUUCAUAUCAUAUUAUAUACGUACUUUUAUUAUAUUAUUUAUUAUUUUUAAUUGAGAUAAUUAAUAUUUGAUUUGAUUAGCGAUGUACUUGAACUACGGGGUCCAAUUGUCUUCCUUGUUGAUGGUUCCUCGCCAUCUUGGACAUAGUUACAAGUGCACAGUGUUUCGUCGCUCCGCAUAAUUAGAAGUAAUUAGCAUAUUUUUUUUCUAACGUAGACUUAUUUCCAAUAUAUCAAUCGAUAACUUAAAGCAUAAUUUUCAAGAGGCCGCGUUGAUUAUUAAUGUAAUUGUACGCGUAAUAAUGAAUCGAACGUUGUAUCGUUUAACUAAAAUAAAAAUCGUGAAUUUGAAGCAUCCUUCAUCUGUUACUUUAAAUACGUCCAUUAUUAUAUUAAAUAAUUUUAAUUCGUCCAUGUUUCGCGAUUAAAAUUUUUGUAACAUUUGCAAUUAAAUCAACAUAAACUUAUGAUUCAUUCGUAUGAAGUAUUAUUUCUUUUUUUUUUUUUAUACGGUUACACAGACCGUUCGCGUAAUAAAUGCCAAGAUGUAAAGUAUUAAUAAGUAUGCUAUUCGUAGCUAUGACUUUAAUAUAGAUAUUGAUUUUAUAAAAAUAAAAUCAUGAAUUUAAUUGAACUUUAGGAAAGAAAAGAAUGAAAAAUUUGUGACUUACCUGCGAUACAGAUAUUUCUGAGAUACAUGUGACGUAUAUUGGGAUUGAAUGAAAUAAAGAAAAAAAUCAACGACACAAGCACGAGCUCACAUAUUUUUCAAUACUUUAUUCAUAUAAUUUUCGUAGUUACGGCAUUAUCUCUAUUUAUUUACAUGUCUCCAUUUUUGAGAAAUUUUGUAACGCGUAUGUGCGCGCACUACGGUGCGACGUGUGUUUUCUUGCGUAUGACGUGAAAAUCUAUUCGCUUUAUCCAGUCGUUCACUGUAAAAGAUACAUUGCGGGGGCGAAAAAAGAGAAAAAUGGUGAUGAAUGGUUUAACUGAGUGUGAAUAUGUGUAAUGUGUAUGUAUGUGUAUUUGUGUGCUUGUGUAUAGUAAGUAAAUUAAAUACGCGCGUAUUUACGCAACGUACUUACGUACGUUCGACGCGCCUAAUAAUGAAUUGCCAAAAGUUAUUCAUGGCGACGAGGUGAGUGACCAGGCGGAUGGGGAGGAGGGUAGAGGAUAGGGGGAUAGAGGAUAUAGGUUGGUAAGAUGCUUUUCUGCUUAAAAAUCGAAUUUCUAACGAAACGGCACAGUAGGCUUCGCCUUCACGUGUAAAAAAUCUAAAUGCAUCAUACGCCUACGUCGUAUUACAUUAUUUAUAUCCGUAUUUAAUUCACGAAAUGAUAAAGAGGCUGACUAGAGCGGUUUACAUACGAUGAAUAAACACGUUCGAUCGCUCGAACGAUCGCGAAAGAAUUACACAGCAUAUAAUAUAUACCCUUUUUCCCUCCAGUCUUUUACACACUCGAGUGCUACUAUACACAUACAUACAUACAUACAUAUAUAUAUAUUUAUAUAUAUAUAUAUGUAUAAUGUUAUAUAUAUAUGUAUAGGCGUGUAAAAAUUGUCACGAGUCAGCCAACAACAAAAAUAUGCGCGAUCGAACGGCGUCUCUCUUUCUCGCUCUCUCUCAUUCACGCAUAUACAUACUCUCUUUCUCUCUCUCUCUCUCUCUCUCUCUCUUUAUUUUUCUCUCUCGGCUCCUCUCGUCCCAGCGCGAAGCACAUGCUCUUUCUCUAUCUAAUAUUAGUGCACUCGUACGCACGAUCAACUGUACAAUGUAAAAUAUAAUUCCUGUCUACCUAAUUUAAGAGAGAAUAGGCGGAGCCGCGUGAGCGUCGUGUGUUACGCUUACUUUUCGGAUCCUCGACUCCGUAUACGUCGUCAAUAUCCUUUCUCCAUUUCCUCCUUUCAUCCUGUCGACUAAUAAUAUUACGCCAUUUUGUUUAUCAGACGAUAUCGAGGUGAGACGAAAGGGUGAAAGGUAUCGAAUUGCCAGACUCUUAAAUCGUAAUUUAAUGCGUUAAGUUAUUUAGUAGGAUAACACCUUGCUCGGUAGAUACUCUUAUAGAAGUUACAAUUGCAUUAGUAUAAACGUCGUAAUAGUUGUCGGUACAUCGAAGGAUAUGCAAAUAGAGAGUCAGAGGGCAGUGAUAACAAUAUGUAACUUUUAUCGCGAAUCGUUUAAUUUUUUUUCUGAAAUUUACUAAUUCUAAGAAAAAUCAGCGUACGCGGCAGUGGCGUACGAGCGCCGAAUAAGAUAAUAAAAACAAAAUAUCGAUGAUGGUCUUUUUUCAUUCUUUGGCUCUCCCAAAGGAAAGAGGGAGCAAAAGAAAGAACAUUUUUUUAAAUAAAUAAAUGAAUAAAUAAAUGAAUAAAUAAAUAAAUAAAUAAAUAAAUAGGUAAAUAAAUAAACAAUUAAAAUACAUACAUAUGUCUUCGCGCAAUUCCGUCGGCUCUACGGAGGGACGACGAUAUAUCGUUAAGACUGCCCGUUCGAGAUUAAAAUCGAAUGUAAUUCUAAGAAAUCGACAUCGAUUCGCUUUUUUACUUUUAUAGCUUCGGAUCGAACGAUCCGCGAAGAUGGAGGGGUUGGGGGUGGUUGGUUGGGGAAAAAGUCAGGGGCGGCAAAAACAUGCGACACGAGUACGGCGAAACUCGAUGAUAAAAGCUCGCCGAUUUUUAUUAUUAUUAUUAUUAUUAUUAUUAUUAUUAUUUUUAUUAUUAUUAUUAUUAUUAUUAUUGUGCUCUUUCUUUUCUGUUCUUUUUUCUUUUUUUCUUUUCUUUUCUUUUCUUUCUAUUUUUUUUCUUGCUUUUUUUUUCUUUUUUUCUUUUUUUUUUGUUUUCUUCAAAGCGCGAGAAGCCACCAUCGUUGUUGAAAUAUACAUUGAGGGAUGAGAUAAGCCUGAUUGCAAUUAGUUUCAUUCGAUCCACGGUCUAUGGACUUUUAAUACGAGUCGGCCGAACGCGAAUUUAAGCUUUUGUGCGUUAGAGACACAAAUAGUAGUAGUUUCAAAGGUUUCGCGUGUCAAGAUAAAAAGAUUUCGAGUUUUCGUGCUAACACGUCCCUUCCACACUUCUUUUUUCGAACAAGUAAUAGAUAAAGACAAUCGAUAGGACAAACGAUAUAUUUGUAAUAAUAAUAUUUUAACGAAUGCGAUUAUUCGUGCGUGCACUUUUUCUCAAUACUUUUCUUUACUUUCUUUCUUUCCUUCUUUCGUAGGAAUAUUAUACAUGUUUUGAGUUCACGUGUGUGCGUAUGUAUAUAUACAUAAAUAUAUACCAACAUACGUACCCACGCAUAUAUAUACAUAUAUAGACAUACACAAAUACGCUUGAUGCGUAUCCUAAUAUGUAAGACGACGCGUUCUUUAUCUGUCUCUAUCUUUUUCUUUCUCUCUCCUCCUCCUCUCUCUCUCUCUCUUUUUUGAAACAUUUUUUUUUAUUGCAAAUAAGCGCGUUCGUGCGCACAAUUAUACGUAUUUUUUCUUACAUCAAGCGCACUGUAAGAAUAUAGGGCUAUAUGGUUUCUGUCUUUUUUUUUUGUUUUUUUUUUGUGUUUUUAAAUAUUUUUCCUUACUAUACUUUCCUCCGACAAAAUACAUGUAUACCGUAUAUAUCAUAUUUUAUAUACUCGUUACUUUAAAAGGAUAUUUAAGAACACACAGCGACGAUACGAUAUUACGCGGGUACGCACGAAUAUUCCUUGUCUAGUUCAAGAAAAUAUUCAAUUUUAUUAUAACAAAAAUUCUUUUUUAACGAGCGUGGAAGGACGCGAAGAGAGGUCAUUAGACGAGAGAGAUAGUUAGUUUGAAAUACCGAGCGAUGAAUAAAAAAAAAAAAAAAAAAAAAAAAAAAAGAAAAAAAAAAUAAAUAAAUAAUCAAAAU